Bacillus rossius redtenbacheri is the source of this 908-nucleotide long non-coding RNA. RefSeq lists it as uncharacterized. The record is from RefSeq and is a predicted model, not a curated record. The transcript is spliced from 4 exons. Lineage: Eukaryota; Metazoa; Arthropoda; Insecta; Phasmatodea; Bacillidae.
GUGUCAGAAGAUUCCACCAGAGAGCAAGUUGGUUUACAAGUGAUCGCUAGACAUUUGGCCAAAAUUGAGAAGCGUUUGGAUGUUAUUCAGCAAUCUGUAUCAGAAUUAUUAAAGCAGACUUUACCAGACACUGUACAGAACAUAAAUAUUUUACCAGAAGAGUUGACUCUUCCAUGCGAGACUGAAGAACAACUCAACAAAGUGGAAGAAUGGAUAUCAAUCCCAGAAAAUAAGAUAUGUAUGGAAACCACACUUGCUACAGUUGGAGGGAGAAAAGCUGAUCAUGUUGUGCGCCAUAUACUAGAGAGACUAUUCACAAAUAGAUUGGCAUUGAAAUACAAUUGGACAGGAAAAAAUCAGAAGAUAGCAUUAAAAAAUCUGCAGCUGAUGAAGAUUAUACCUGCUGCUGUUAGAAGAAAUAAAUCCACUAGCAACAUCUGUGAUGAUGAUGUGAAUACCAUUUUACGGAACUGGUUCCGUUUCGCAAAGGACAGGGAUGGAGGUCGAGACAGCAGAAGACAGUCGGCUAAAUAGAAAAAGACAUCAGAAAAAUGUCUACUGUGGAAGUUCAAAGAGAACUAAUUUGCGAAAAGUGGCAGUUCGUUCAAAAGAAAUUUGUCAAGAAUUAUGUAAUGAAAUUCAGCACAAUUAUGUAAAUGUUACUGUAAACACACACACUAACAAUCAUGGUGCUGAUUCAAACAAUGCAGGUAUUUCUACAAAUAAUAAUGAUUACAUAUGCAGCAGUAUUAGUAGUAUAAGUAGUACUGAUGAUGAUUCUUCAGUUGAAGAAAUUGAAAAUUCUGAACUUAGUGCUAACAUUGUUCCUGUUGAACAAAAAUUAGUUGAUUGGAUGUACAGUUAUAACAUACCACAUAAUGCAGCAACAGCUUUGUUGCACAUUUUAA